This 437-nucleotide ribosomal RNA is filed under the name uncultured Oscillospiraceae bacterium. Its description in RNAcentral is "partial 16S ribosomal RNA". It matches the Rfam family "Bacterial small subunit ribosomal RNA", at positions 341 to 792 of the family's 1533-position model. Lineage: Bacteria; Bacillati; Bacillota; Clostridia; Eubacteriales; Oscillospiraceae. The record is from RNAcentral.
ACGGAAGGCAGCAGUGGGGAAUAUUGGGCAAUGGGCGAAAGCCUGACCCAGCAACGCCGCGUGAAGGAAGAAGGUCUUCGGAUUGUAAACUUCUUUUAUGAGGGACGAAGGACGUGACGGUACCUCAUGAAUAAGCCACGGCUAACUACGUGCCAGCAGCCGCGGUAAUACGUAGGUGGCAAGCGUUAUCCGGAUUUACUGGGUGUAAAGGGCGCGUGGGCGGGAAGGCAAGUCAGGUGUGAAAUCUAUGGGCUUAACCCAUAAACUGCACUUGAAACUGUCUUUCUUGAGUGCUGGAGAGGUAGACGGAAUUCCUUGUGUAGCGGUGAAACGCGUAGAUAUAAGGAAGAACACCAGUGGCGAAGGCGGUCUACUGGACAGUAACUGACGCUGAGGCGCGAAAGCGUGGGGAGCAAACAGGAUUAGAUACCCUGGUA